CCUACGGGAGGCAGCAGUCGAGAAUCAUUCACAAUGGGGGAAACCCUGAUGGUGCGACGCCGCGUGGGGGAAUGAAGGUCUUCGGAUUGUAAACCCCUGUCAUGUGGGAGCAAAUUAAAAAGAUAGUACCACAAGAGGAAGUGACGGCUAACUCUGUGCCAGCAGCCGCGGUAAUACCGAGGUCGCAAGCGUUGUCCGGAAUCACUGGGCGUAAAGGGUGCGUAGGCUGUUGCGUAAGUCGUGUGUGAAAGUCGCGGGCUUAACCCGCGGACGGCACAUGAUACUGCGAGACUAGAGUAAUGGAGGGGGAACCGGAAUUCUCGGUGUAGCAGUGAAAUGCGUAGAUAUCGAGAGGAACACUCGUGGCGAAGGCGGGUUCCUGGACAUUAACUGACGCUGAGGCACGAAGGCCAGGGGAGCGAAAGGGAUUAGAUACCCCUGUAGUC
Molecule: ribosomal RNA, 446 nt
Filed under: uncultured bacterium
Lineage: Bacteria
Description: partial 16S ribosomal RNA
Rfam family: Bacterial small subunit ribosomal RNA
Source: RNAcentral